This is a long non-coding RNA of Thalassophryne amazonica, 1821 nucleotides long. RefSeq lists it as uncharacterized. The record is from RefSeq and is a predicted model, not a curated record. Lineage: Eukaryota; Metazoa; Chordata; Actinopteri; Batrachoidiformes; Batrachoididae. The transcript has 3 exons.
AUGAAGAUGAAGACGAGAAGAUACAAGCUGCUAGAGAUGAAGAGGCAAAGCAUGACGGUUACCGGCAGUUAUCGAGCAUCAAGGAGAAAAUACGCGAGAACUGUCUUCAAAGAGGCGAGCAAUCUGGCUAGCACGGAUAGCUAGAAGUGACCUUAUAUCCGAGUCCAGUUUGGCCAAUCUACGGAUCUGUUCGGAUCAUUUCAUUAAAGAAGGAGUUGGAUGAGGUAGUGCAGACAUGGAAUACCCACAAGAUCAGACCGCGACCUGGCCAAGAUGUGCAUAGUGGUCGUCCUGUUCUGAUGUACACAGUCCCAAGUUUGUAUGAUGCAGAGGAUAAGCUUAAACUCGUGGAGCCUGAAGAAGUAGCUGUGUGUAAGGAAGAGUGCACACCGAAGAGCCAGAUCCCUCGUGAUGAGACUGUUUACGAUCUCUCUGUGUUACUCAUGCAGGAGAAUCAAUGGGGCCAUCCUUAGAACAGUGAUACUGGAAAAUAUCUAACACCAUUGCCAUAGAAAGUGUUAGUGUGGUAUCAUAGUGUAGCGGGAUGAAAGUCCCGGGUCCCAAUUGAAAAGACGUUCCCGCUAGCUUGGCUAACGGGGAGUUCCCCUUUGGCUGACCUGGUAGAGGAACGGUCUUUUGUUGCAAGCCGCGUGGGUUCGAUCCCCACCGUCGUCCCGGCCACGAAGGUCCUGCUGCUUCAAUCGUAUGUCAAUGAAACGGGUCCUGUAGGAUUUUUGUGCUAAAAUGGAUUUUUUGCUUUUUACUUAAAGCAGUAUAGGCCCAUAAUGGUUCAAGGUGAUCCUGGGGUAAAAUUUACCAGAUGCUCAGAUUUUGUUGAAACUGGUGAGAAGUUGUUUGUAUUGUGUCAUAGGGUCCCCCCACCCCCACACAAAAGAGCUAUUUUACGGUGUGUGGCAUUUGAUUGGAUAAUUAAAUAGCAGAAUGUGUCAAAGGUCUACAUGGUCUAUGGGGGCCACUAAGACUUUCCCUGGAUGUUGCAGAUGGUGCCAUCACCAAAUCAGUUAAAAUGCUUUUUCUGCUUCAGUAUGACAAGAGAAAUCAUUUGACACCACUUUCAAUAUCAUCUGAGCAUUUACCCCAGGAUGACCUUGAAGCUUUAAAGCCCUAUACCUGUGUAAAUAUCAGCCAGAACCUAGACAAACUAUAUUUAUUUAUUACUAUUAUUAUAAUCCUCUCAACAAGACAGAUAUAUUGGAGUAUAUUUGAAAUUGAUUAACUUGAUUUUCAAUUUACCUGUGUACUAACCUUUGUCCCCUUGCAGGAGAGAUGUAGGGGUCUGAAAAUUUGAACUCCGUCAUUUUAUGACAGUCUUGGUCCUGUUGAAACCCAAGCAGCAACAAAAUCAAUUUUAGCAUGAAAAUCCUAUGGGAAUACACACCAUACCUCACUAUGUGCAUGUUUUGAUGGAUUUAUUUAUUUUUGUUUUGGAAUGAUAUAAACACUGUUCUUGUGCGUGAUUAUAGUAACAGCUAAACUUAAAUGUGUUAAACAUGUAGAAAUGCUUUACACAAUUGUUUUGGUUAAAAAAAAAGUUCAAAAUACUUCACAAUUGGUUUACAAACUAUUCCUUUUUGCACACCUACCCAUGAACUGGUAUCCCACUUAGGUGCUCAACUUUACAUUUUAGACAGUUUUUAUACAGUUCAGAACACACUAAAAUUAAGAUGCAACAUUGUUUACUUAUAUUGCUAAAACAUCUAUUUUCAAUUCAAUUUUUCAAUUUUAUUUCCUUUAUAUAGCACCAAAUCACAGAGUUGCCUCAAAGUGCUUCACACAGGUAAGGUCUAACCUUACCAACCC